AAAGAAACCAUUCCCGAAGAUUUUUACCACCACUUUUACAGCAAAUCAUGAAUGGAAACUGAAUUGUUAUAGAAGAUGUUACAGAGGAGCAUACUACUUCCAAAAACCUGAUUUGAUUGUCACUAACUUUCAAAUUGAAGGGGAUCUACUACAACUGCUCAUGAAUUUUGAGAUUUUACAUCUAAUAGAGGAACAAAUUUUAUCUGCUUCCACUUAGACAAACAGCAUGGAAAUGUGCUAUUGUAAUGAGUAGAAGAUAUUUGUCAUUUAGAAUAUCAUGUGUCAUUGACUUAUGAAAACAAAAUGCAACAGCUAAUUAUCAGUCCACACAUUUCAAGAUGAGGAAAAGAACAGUAUAAGCUACAUUCAUUGGUGCAUUAUUUAUACCAAAAUGUAUAGUCAACCCAGUCAUCACUCCAUUUUUUUAUGAAGCCAGUUACAGUUACAAUGAA
Molecule: long non-coding RNA, 452 nt
Organism: Biomphalaria glabrata
Lineage: Eukaryota; Metazoa; Mollusca; Gastropoda; Planorbidae
Exons: 3
Source: RefSeq, a predicted model, not a curated record